UACGUAGGGGGCAAGCGUUGUCCGGAAUUAUUGGGCGUAAAGAGCUCGUAGGCGGUCUGUCGCGUCGAAUGUGAAAACCCGGGGCUCAACCCCGGGCCUGCAUUCGAUACGGGCAGACUAGAGUUCGGUAGGGGAGUCUGGAAUUCCUGGUGUAGCGGUGAAAUGCGCAGAUAUCAGGAGGAACACCGGUGGCGAAGGCGGGACUCUGGGCCGAUACUGACGCUGAGGAGCGAAAGCGUGGGGAGCAAACAGG
This 253-nucleotide ribosomal RNA is filed under the name uncultured bacterium. RNAcentral describes it as "partial 16S ribosomal RNA". It matches the Rfam family "Bacterial small subunit ribosomal RNA", at positions 524 to 776 of the family's 1533-position model. The record is from RNAcentral.